Molecule: ribosomal RNA, 350 nt
Filed under: Staphylococcus aureus
Lineage: Bacteria; Bacillati; Bacillota; Bacilli; Caryophanales; Staphylococcaceae
Description: bacterial SSU rRNA
Rfam family: Bacterial small subunit ribosomal RNA
Source: RNAcentral
AUCAUGCCCCUUAUGAUUUGGGCUACACACGUGCUACAAUGGACAAUACAAAGGGCAGCGAAACCGCGAGGUCAAGCAAAUCCCAUAAAGUUGUUCUCAGUUCGGAUUGUAGUCUGCAACUCGACUACAUGAAGCUGGAAUCGCUAGUAAUCGUAGAUCAGCAUGCUACGGUGAAUACGUUCCCGGGUCUUGUACACACCGCCCGUCACACCACGAGAGUUUGUAACACCCGAAGCCGGUGGAGUAACCUUUUAGGAGCUAGCCGUCGAAGGUGGGACAAAUGAUUGGGGUGAAGUCGUAACAAGGUAGCCGUAUCGGAAGGUGCGGCUGGAUCACCUCCUUUCUAAGGA